UAACGCGUGGGAAUCUGCCCUCAGGUUCGGGAAUAACGACGGGAAACUGUCGCUAAUACCGGAUGACGCCCUUCGGGGGAAAGAUUUAUCGCCGAUAGAUGUGCCCGCGUACGAUUAGCUAGUUGGUGAGGUAAUGGCUCACCAAGGCUACGAUCGUUAGCUGGUCUGAGAGGAUGAUCAGCCACACUGGGACUGAGACACGGCCCAGACUCCUACGGGAGGCAGCAGUGGGGAAUAUUGGACAAUGGGCGAAAGCCUGAUCCAGCAAUGCCGCGUGAGUGAUGAAGGCCUUAGGGUUGU
RNAcentral lists this ribosomal RNA (300 nucleotides) under uncultured Sphingomonadaceae bacterium. Its description in RNAcentral is "bacterial SSU rRNA". It matches the Rfam family "Bacterial small subunit ribosomal RNA", at positions 111 to 426 of the family's 1533-position model. Lineage: Bacteria; Pseudomonadati; Pseudomonadota; Alphaproteobacteria; Sphingomonadales; Sphingomonadaceae. The record is from RNAcentral.